RNAcentral lists this non-coding RNA (55 nucleotides) under Spodoptera frugiperda (fall armyworm). The record is from RNAcentral. Lineage: Eukaryota; Metazoa; Arthropoda; Insecta; Lepidoptera; Noctuidae.
AGUGUGUAAAUUAGCUGGAGUUGUCUGUUUUAGCUCCAUCUCAUUUACACGCUGC